UAAUUGGCUAGACUGGAGGGUUAGGAGUCCUCUGUAAGCACAAAUCUCCUUUGGUGCAGUCGAAAUAAAGGAGGCGGCAUUUGGAUUCAGUCAUGGCCUGUGGAGCUGAUGUCGAAGCCUCGUCCUGCAGGAUCAAUGGUGUCAGGGAUAUUACUGGAGGGUAAUAUUUAAUUGACUUUAUUGUGGGAACGUGUCAGGCCUGGAAAGGAGCAGCUCUACCGCUUACAGCUGAUGCUUGUAGAACCGCGGGGUGGAGUUAGUUUUUCAGAUAACCAUGGUUGAUGAAGGGUGUCCACUCCUUUAUGUGCCACUUA
This 314-nucleotide signal recognition particle RNA is filed under the name Methanobrevibacter sp. RNAcentral's name for it is "signal recognition particle sRNA". It matches the Rfam family "Archaeal signal recognition particle RNA". The record is from RNAcentral. Lineage: Archaea; Methanobacteriati; Methanobacteriota; Methanobacteria; Methanobacteriales; Methanobacteriaceae.